CCCUUAGAGUUUGAUCCUGGCUCAGGACGAACGCUGGCGGCGCGCCUAACACAUGCAAGUCGAACGAGAGAUGAGGAGCUUGCUCUUCAGAUCGAGUGGCGAACGGGUGAGUAACGCGUGAGGAACCUGCCUCAAAGAGGGGGACAACAGUUGGAAACGACUGCUAAUACCGCAUAAGCCCACGGCUCGGCAUCGAGCAGAGGGAAAAGGAGUGAUCCGCUUUGAGAUGGCCUCGCGUCCGAUUAGCUAGUUGGUGAGGUAAUGGCCCACCAAGGCAACGAUCGGUAGCCGGACUGAGAGGUUGAACGGCCACAUUGGGACUGAGACACGGCCCAGACUCCUACGGGAGGCAGCAGUGGGGAAUAUUGCACAAUGGGGGAAACCCUGAUGCAGCGACGCCGCGUGGAGGAAGAAGGUCUUCGGAUUGUAAAC
RNAcentral lists this ribosomal RNA (432 nucleotides) under uncultured bacterium. Its description in RNAcentral is "bacterial SSU rRNA". It matches the Rfam family "Bacterial small subunit ribosomal RNA", at positions 1 to 430 of the family's 1533-position model. The record is from RNAcentral.